UACGUAGGGCGCAAGCGUUGUCCGGAAUUAUUGGGCGUAAAGAGCUCGUAGGCGGCCAGUUGCGUCUGCUGUGAAAUCCCGGGGCUCAACCCCGGGCGUGCAGUGGGUACGGGCUGGCUAGAGGCAGGCAGGGGAGAACGGAAUUCCCGGUGUAGCGGUGAAAUGCGCAGAUAUCGGGAGGAACACCGGUGGCGAAGGCGGUUCUCUGGGCCUGCACUGACGCUGAGGAGCGAAAGCGUGGGGAGCGAACAGG
This 253-nucleotide ribosomal RNA is filed under the name uncultured bacterium. Its description in RNAcentral is "partial 16S ribosomal RNA". It matches the Rfam family "Bacterial small subunit ribosomal RNA", at positions 524 to 776 of the family's 1533-position model. The record is from RNAcentral.